GACGAACGCUGGCGGUGUGCUUAACACAUGCAAGUCGAACGGUAAGGCCCUUUCGGGGGUACACGAGUGGCGAACGGGUGCGUAACACGUGAGUAACCUGCCCUCAUCUCUGGGAUAACGAUCGGAAACGGUUGCUAAUACUGGUACUGAGCUUGCAAGGCAUCUUGUGGGUUGGAAAGAUUUUUUUCGGUUGGGGAUGGAGUCGCGGCGUAUCCGCUUGUUGUUGAGGUAGUGGCUCACCAAGGCUUCGACGGGUAGCCGGCCCGAGAGGGCGGCGGGACACAUUGGACUCGUGCGACAGGCAAAAGUCCGGCGGGAGGCAGAAGGGGGGAAUAUUGGACAAUGGACGGAAGUCUGAGGCAGCAAGGCCGCGGGAGGGAUGACGGCCGUUGGGUGGUAAACCGCUAUCAAUUGGGACGAAGCUAUUUUGUGACGGUAGCAGUAGAAGAAGCAACGGCUAACUACGUG
RNAcentral lists this ribosomal RNA (468 nucleotides) under uncultured bacterium. Its description in RNAcentral is "partial 16S ribosomal RNA". It matches the Rfam family "Bacterial small subunit ribosomal RNA", at positions 28 to 507 of the family's 1533-position model. The record is from RNAcentral.